AUGCUUACCUGGCAGGGCAGAUACCAUGAUCAUGAAGGUGAUUUUCCCAGGGUGAGGCUUAUCCAUUGCUCUGGAUGUGCUGACCCCUGCGAUUUCCCCAAAUGAGGGAAACUCGACUGCUCAUC
RNAcentral lists this small nuclear RNA (125 nucleotides) under Dasypus novemcinctus (nine-banded armadillo). Its description in RNAcentral is "U1 spliceosomal RNA (ENSDNOG00000027888.1)". It matches the Rfam family "U1 spliceosomal RNA". Rfam says of the family: U1 is a small nuclear RNA (snRNA) component of the spliceosome (involved in pre-mRNA splicing). Its 5' end forms complementary base pairs with the 5' splice junction, thus defining the 5' donor site of an intron. Lineage: Eukaryota; Metazoa; Chordata; Mammalia; Cingulata; Dasypodidae. The record is from RNAcentral.